AGAUGUCCAAGUGAUCUGGCUGUGAAAUCUGUCACAGCGCUGAGUGGCAGGGUUGGUUUGGCUGAUCUCGUUCGGCUAGGUGGGUGUCCCCUUUCUCCCUCACUGCUCCAUGCAGGCGCCUCCAGAAGCUGGGUGUGAUGUUGAAGAAAGCAACCUUCCCUGAACAGAAGAACUCAUCUUCCAUCAAAGGUACAUGGAUAGCUGUGCUCUCUCCUGCUACAGCCUCCAAACAAGUUAUCAAAAAUGCAAAGGUAUUGGGUGAGUUUUAACCCCCCCCCCUGGGUGGGGAGGGGGAGGAGGUAGGCUGUAUGGUCAGCAGAUGAUAAAGCUGGCUGUGGAGAUCAGAGCCAGCUCUAG
This 357-nucleotide small nuclear RNA is filed under the name Mus musculus (house mouse). RNAcentral's name for it is "predicted gene, 55366 (ENSMUSG00002075434.1)". The stretch from base 1 to 294 matches the Rfam family "7SK RNA". Rfam says of the family: 7SK was discovered as an abundant small nuclear RNA in the mid-70s but a possible function has only recently been suggested. Two independent studies have found that 7SK RNA binds the CDK9/cyclin T complex (known as elongation factor P-TEFb). P-TEFb activates transcription by phosphorylating the C-terminal domain of RNA polymerase II. The record is from RNAcentral. Lineage: Eukaryota; Metazoa; Chordata; Mammalia; Rodentia; Muridae.